Molecule: ribosomal RNA, 116 nt
Filed under: Prolemur simus (greater bamboo lemur)
Lineage: Eukaryota; Metazoa; Chordata; Mammalia; Primates; Lemuridae
Source: RNAcentral
GUCUAUAGCCAUACCACCCUGAAUGUGCCUGAUCUCGUCUGACCUUGAAAGUUAAGCAGGGUCAGGCCUGGUUAGUACUUGGACGGGGGAUCUCCUCUAACCUAGCAUUGUAUUUG